GGAGUAACUAUGACUCUCUU
RNAcentral lists this non-coding RNA (20 nucleotides) under Xenopus tropicalis (tropical clawed frog). RNAcentral also lists the same sequence under 2 other names. Lineage: Eukaryota; Metazoa; Chordata; Amphibia; Anura; Pipidae. The record is from RNAcentral.